UACGUAGGGCGCAAGCGUUUGUCCGGAAUUAUUGGGCGUAAAGAGCUCGUAGGCGGCCUGUUGCGUCCGCUGUGAAAUCCCGGGGCUCAACCCCGGGCCUGCAGUGGAUACGGGCUGGCUGGAGGCAGGCAGGGGAGAACGGAAUUCCUGGUGUAGCGGUGAAAUGCGCAGAUAUCAGGAGGAACACCGGUGGCGAAGGCGGUUCUCUGGGCCUGUUCUGACGCUGAGGAGCGAAAGCGUGGGGAGCGAACAGG
Molecule: ribosomal RNA, 254 nt
Filed under: uncultured bacterium
Lineage: Bacteria
Description: partial 16S ribosomal RNA
Rfam family: Bacterial small subunit ribosomal RNA
Source: RNAcentral